GGCCGAGAUAGCUCAGUCGGUAGAGCAGAGGACUGAAAAUCCUCGUGUCAC
RNAcentral lists this transfer RNA (51 nucleotides) under Hymenasplenium triquetrum. Its description in RNAcentral is "partial tRNA-Phe". It matches the Rfam family "tRNA", at positions 1 to 48 of the family's 71-position model. From Rfam's summary of the family: Transfer RNA (tRNA) molecules are approximately 80 nucleotides in length. Their secondary structure includes four short double-helical elements and three loops (D, anti-codon, and T loops). Further hydrogen bonds mediate the characteristic L-shaped molecular structure. tRNAs have two regions of fundamental functional importance: the anti-codon, which is responsible for specific mRNA codon recognition, and the 3' end, to which the tRNAs corresponding amino acid is attached (by aminoacyl-tRNA synthetases). tRNAs cope with the degeneracy of the genetic code in two manners: having more than one tRNA (with a specific anti-codon) for a particular amino acid; and 'wobble' base-pairing, i.e. permitting non-standard base-pairing at the 3rd anti-codon position. RNAcentral also lists the same sequence under 3 other names. The record is from RNAcentral. Lineage: Eukaryota; Viridiplantae; Streptophyta; Polypodiopsida; Polypodiales; Aspleniaceae.